GUGGGGAAUUUUGGACAAUGGGCGCAAGCCUGAUCCAGCCAUGCCGCGUGCAGGAUGAAGGCCUUCGGGUUGUAAACUGCUUUUGUACGGAACGAAAAAGCUCUCUCUAAUACAGGGGGUGAAUGACGGUACCGUAAGAAUAAGCACCGGCUAACUACGUGCCAGCAGCCGCGGUAAUACGUAGGGUGCAAGCGUUAAUCGGAAUUACUGGGCGUAAAGCGUGCGCAGGCGGUUAUGUAAGACAGAGGUGAAAUCCCCGGGCUCAACCUGGGAACUGCCUUUGUGACUGCAUAGCUGGAGUGCGGCAGAGGGGGAUGGAAUUCCGCGUGUAGCAGUGAAAUGCGUAGAUAUGCGGAGGAACACCGAUGGCGAAGGCAAUCCCCUGGGCCUGCACUGACGCUCAUGCACGAAAGCGUGGGGAGCAAACAGGAUUAGAUACCCGAGUAGUCC
This 450-nucleotide ribosomal RNA is filed under the name uncultured bacterium. RNAcentral describes it as "partial 16S ribosomal RNA". It matches the Rfam family "Bacterial small subunit ribosomal RNA", at positions 354 to 796 of the family's 1533-position model. The record is from RNAcentral.